UUAAGCAUAUCAAUAAGCNGGAGGAAUU
RNAcentral lists this ribosomal RNA (28 nucleotides) under Cudonia lutea. RNAcentral's name for it is "partial large subunit ribosomal RNA". Lineage: Eukaryota; Fungi; Ascomycota; Leotiomycetes; Rhytismatales; Cudoniaceae. The record is from RNAcentral.